CGUGAUGAUGUCACAAUCGCGGCGGGCCCCGGCGUUCCCGGGUCGGCUUCGGGCGCAGAUCCGAGCGGGCAGCGGGCUCCUGAGUCAUGGACUUCCCUUGGCCCCUCCUCUACCACUCCCACCGCCGCGCCGGGCCCCCCCGCAGGGGCUAGCGCUCGCGCGGCGGCUCCGAGGGGGUGGGGCUGCUGGGAAUGGCUGUGCCCCCUUCGGCUCCUCUGCCGUGCUCGCCCUUUUACCUGAGGCGGCAGGCGCCGUGCCCGCAGUGCUCAUGGGGCAUGGAGGAGAAGGCGGCGGCCGGCGCGGGCUGCCGGGAGCCGCCGGGCGCCCCGAGGGCCGCCGCCGUCCCUUGCUUCGGCAUAUCCGUGGACCAGGACGACAUCCUCCCGGGCGCCCUGCGCCUCAUCCAGGAGCUGCGGCCACAUUGGAAGCCCGAGCAAGUUCGGACUAAGCGCUUCACCGAUGGCAUCACCAACAAGCUGGUGGCCUGCUACGUGGAGGAGGACAUGGGGGACUGUGUGCUGGUCCGGGUGUACGGGGAGCGGACGGAGCUGCUGGUGGACCGGGAGAAUGAGGUCAGGAACUUCCAGCUGCUGCGAGCACAUGGCUGCGCCCCCAAACUCUACUGCACCUUCCAGAACGGGCUGUGCUACGAGUACAUGCGGGGCAUGGCCCUGGGGCCCGAGCACAUCCGGGAGCCUCGGCUCUUCAGGCUAAUCGCCUUAGAAAUGGCAAAGAUUCACACCAUCCACGCCAACGGCAGCCUGCCCAAGCCCACCCUCUGGCACAAGAUGCACAAUUAUUUCACCCUCGUGAAGAACGAGAUCAACCCCAGCCUUUCUGCAGAUGUCCCCACGGUGGAGGUGUUGGAACGGGAGCUGGCCUGGCUGAAGGAGCACCUGUCCCAGUUGGAUUCCCCUGUGGUGUUUUGUCACAAUGACCUGCUCUGCAAGAACAUCAUCUAUGACAGCACCAAAGGCCAUGUACGGUUCAUUGACUAUGAAUACGCCGGCUACAACUACCAAGCUUUUGACAUUGGCAACCAUUUCAAUGAGUUUGCAGGUGUGAAUGAGGUCGAUUACUGCCGGUACCCUGGGCGGGACACCCAGCUGCAGUGGCUGAGCUACUACCUACAGGCUCAAAAGGGGAUGGCCGUGACCCCCAGGGAGGUGGAGAGGCUCUAUGUGCAAGUCAACAAGUUUGCCCUGGCGUCUCACUUCUUCUGGGCACUCUGGGCCCUCAUCCAGAACCAGUUCUCCACCAUCGACUUUGAUUUCCUCAGGUACGCAGUGAUCCGAUUCCACCAGUACUUCAAGGUGAAGCCCCAGGUGUCAGCCUUGGAGAUGCCAAAGUGACCAGCUUCCCCAUCUCUCCCCUACCCAUGCCUGGCAGGACCUGUGCUCCAGGGUUCACUUCUGCUCUGGGGUCCGCGCCCUCGGACAAGGUGGGAGAGGGGACAGAGCCACCUCUGGAGCUGAGGGCAGAAAUAACCACUGUGAAGGCAGCUUCGUUCCCAGCCUCCUGGGGCCUUGAUGUCACAGCGUUGGAGACGGUUUGCAGUGGUGAGCAGGAGCUGGCCGGGACAGGGCCCCCCGGGUACCAUCCUGUGCCCCUACAGCCCUGGCCACCAGCUGCACCAAAGGACUUAAGCUGCAGGUACCAUCUCACUGCCUUGGAGAAAACAUCCUCAUCACUCCAGUUCUCCAGGGGAGUGGGCAGGUGGGGGGAGGGGGGAGCUCAGGACACCCCUCCCCCUCAAAGCCUGGAGUCCUGUCCUUUCACUGCCACCCCAGACUAACCAGCACCCCUGCCCCCUGGUUCCGAGGGCCAGGCUGUGGCAACUCCGGGAGGAGGGCAGGGCUCCACUCCCUCAGACCUUCCUUAGGGUCUAGCAGGAGCUCGGACCCUCGGCCUUUGUAGGAGACAGAGCAGAGGCUCACGCCCCAGCCUCCCUGGUCCUGACCAGCAUCUUCUAUUCCCGGCCUCCCUGCCCCUGUUGUGCCUCUCGGGGAGACAGGGCUCCAACCAGAGGUCUUCGUGGAGGGCUCUGUCCAUCCUAAGAGGAUGUGGGGCAUGUGAAUCCAGCAGCUGGAAAGGAGGGCAGGAUAAGGGAUCCUAUAGUAGGAGGAGGACAGUAUUGGCCUCAGUCUCCCCUAAGGCCACAGAGGACUUGGGAAGAGGGAAGGGAGACGAACUCAGGACUGGCAGGCAGGGUGUGAGGGGGAGCCAGGCUGGGAGUGUCCUGACGGACUGCCCUGAUUUGGUUAGGAACACAGUGUGCGGGGUGGUGUGGCCCGGAGGGUGGGAGGCCAGGACAGAGGAAGUUAAGAUGAUGAGCAAUUCUCCCCCCUGACCGCUAGAGGGUGUCUUUCCCUGGGUGGCCAGCGAGGCUCGAGAGGACAGGGGGUUGUGAGGACAAGGAGAGGAGACCCAAAGCUCCGGGAAGGUAGGCUGGGAAAAACCAGCAAAGGCCAGUAGCCAGGACCCUCCCUAGAUCAAAAGGCCAGGACUUCAUUCCUUGACGGAAUCAACCACAUCUAACUUCUACCACCUCCCUGGUUGUGAACACACAACCUCUCUUAAUCCAACCCAAAUCUAACUUCCAUUGGAAUUGCCCUUCAGCUUUGAUGCUCCAUUCCACCUUAAGGGGAUUAAUUUUUGACCCUAAGAGUUGGUCUGUUUAUCAAUCAUUAUCAAUAUGCACUUUGAAAGUUGGUUAUCAGCCCUUUGAAGUCCAAUGGACUGUCCUCUUAGAUACAUGUUUGAAAUCCUCCUUCAAAACCUGAGGUCACAGAGCCCUGAAGCACAGCACUAGCUCCCUUGCUUCAUUAAUCAGUAUCCUGGGGGCCUCCUACAUGGGAAAAGGCUCAUGUGGAUGGCCCGAGCCCAGGAUGAGGGCCCACAGCUUUCAUGAGAUUUUCAAAGGGCUCCUUCUCCACAAGGGGACAAGAAUUGUGGGUAAAGCUUAGCCUCGGUGUUUUCAGAUGAGCAUGAUGAAGCCCAGAGGAGACACUGGACCCUCUGCCAAGGCCACGUGGCUACUUCUAGAGAGAACCCAAGUUUCCCUGACCCCCUGCAGUGCUCUCGCUACUGCCUUUUUUAGGAUCUGGGUGGGCAAUCUGUGGAGGGUCUGGCUUACCUCCUUGAGGCAGGGGCAGUGUCUUCGCAGUGCAGGCUCUGUGGGUGGUGGCAGUCACUCCAGAGGCUUGGUCUGGUCUUCCCUGGCCUCCCAGGCCCGAAGCUCCCCAGUGUCGCCACAAGGGGGCAGUGGUGGCUGGGCUGGCGGCACAAGUAGAAAUUCUGGACCUGGGCCAGCCUCCCUCCCUCCCCCGCACAAGGGCCAGAUUCUGAAAUGGUCUGUCUUUAUUAUGCCAACAGAAAACAAAAAUAUCCCCCAAGUGUAAACAGGAGAAAUGUGCUGGUUAAGUUACUCAUCAUUAUCUUAUUAUUAACAAAAUAAAGCACUAUCUAUGUUUACAGUCAUAAAAAAAGAAACAGCCUGGAGAGAAGUUGGGCUGGAGGGAAAGGGGGGGGGUAGGGAGAAG
Molecule: RNA transcript, 3542 nt
Organism: Panthera uncia (snow leopard)
Lineage: Eukaryota; Metazoa; Chordata; Mammalia; Carnivora; Felidae
Gene: ETNK2
Gene name: ethanolamine kinase 2
Exons: 10
Source: RefSeq, a predicted model, not a curated record